UGGUGGCGAUGCGCUUAGGGGACACACCCGUUCCCAUCCCGAACACGAUGGUUAAGACCUAAGCGGCCGAUGGUACUUUACUGGAGACGGUACGGGAGAGUAGGUGGCUGCCAGAGUU
This 118-nucleotide ribosomal RNA is filed under the name Dorea formicigenerans. Lineage: Bacteria; Bacillati; Bacillota; Clostridia; Lachnospirales; Lachnospiraceae. The record is from RNAcentral. RNAcentral also lists the same sequence under 1 other name.